UACAGAGGUGACAAACGUUGUCCGGAAUUAUUGGGCGUAAAGGGCGCGUAGGUGGUUGAGUAAGUCAGGUGUGAAAGCUCUGGGCUUAACCCAGGAAUUGCAUCUGAUACUGCUCGGCUUGAGUACGGUAGAGGAGGGUGGAAUUCCCAGUGUAGCGGUGAAAUGCGUAGAUAUUGGGAGGAACACCGGUGGCGAAGGCGGCCCUCUGGACCGAAACUGACACUGAAGCGCGAAAGCUAGGGGAGCAAACGGG
Molecule: ribosomal RNA, 253 nt
Filed under: uncultured bacterium
Lineage: Bacteria
Description: partial 16S ribosomal RNA
Rfam family: Bacterial small subunit ribosomal RNA
Source: RNAcentral